RNAcentral lists this unclassified non-coding RNA (308 nucleotides) under Septobasidium wilsonianum. RNAcentral describes it as "partial contains 5.8S ribosomal RNA, internal transcribed spacer 2, and large subunit ribosomal RNA". The record is from RNAcentral. Lineage: Eukaryota; Fungi; Basidiomycota; Pucciniomycetes; Septobasidiales; Septobasidiaceae.
CGCACCUUGCACCCUUUGGCAUUCCGAAGGGUACAUCUGUUUGAGUGUCAUGAAUCCCUCAACCUCUUCACUUUCUUGUAAAGUGUGCGAGCGUUGGAUGUUGAGCGUUGCUGUGUCCACGCACAGCUCGCCUCAAAUGUAUUAGCAAUCUUGAUAGUGAUCGGAUUGACCCGACGUGAUAAGAUCUUCGUUGGGGAUGCUCUAGCUAGCAGCCGGCCGUUAUACAAGUCGCUUCAAACCCUUUGCGCUUCUGCGCUACCACCCUACAUUUAGACCUCAAAUCAGAUGGGACUACCCGCUGAACUUAA